UGCUAAGCAAGGUGGUUGUUAAAUGAGUCAUGCCUGAUUUAAGACCUUUUUGCCACGGUUGUUAAGUAAAUUACUGCCGUUACUAAGUGAAUCACAUGGUUGUUGAGGAAAUCCAGCUUCGCCUGUUGACUUAGCUUGUUGGAAAGUUUCAGUUUUACUGUGUGGAAUUCUGGGAGUUGAAGUCCAGAUGUCUUAAAGAUGCUGAGGUUGAGAAACGUUGCCCUGAAUUGAACAAGGCAGUAGCAAUACGGUAGUGUGAUUUUUAGCCAAAGAUCCUCAGGGUGGAUUACAUUAGACAACAAAAGACGGCCCCGUCCGUGCAAGCUUGAACACUAAAAGAGAGAAAGCAAAAGAAGGCAUUUAAAGAGAGAAGCUCUCCAAAUGGAACUAGCAGCAGAGCCAGGAGUAACAACUUCUCUGGCAGGAGUAGUCAGUCUCAUAAUCUUUAGUUUUUUAAGGGGAUUUGGGAAACUGCAGGAUCUGCAAUGAAUAUGUUGAUCAGUGGGGGCAAGAACGGAGAGAGACCCCUACACACUGGGCACUGUUGCUUUGUUACCUUUUUUAUUUCCUUCCAAAUCCACUUGUGGGUUUUACAGUAUCUGCAAAACAGAUUUGCAUUUUAUGCGAGCUGCUCACCACAAAUUAAGAGUCAUUUUGCAUCACUUGCAUUUCCACCCUGGUGGCAGCCCAAGGCCGCUCAUCGUACUUGGGUGAGAUGUGAAAAGCCCACUGACUGGAAAGCGCUUCACUCUGUGUGGUGGGGUUUAUUACGUUUUUCACCCAAUAACUGUCCUUCGACUGGGGCAACCCUGGCUUAAUUCCCAGCAUGUGCACUGGAUCGAGCCAAGGCAGAAGAGUAGAGAGGAGCAUGUUAUUGUCUUUGUAGUCCCUCCUUCAUUACGGCACAACCUCUGAUCUCAUGGACAGCAGAGCUGACGUCUCUGCUUCCAGGACUGAGGGGUGUUCCGCUCCCUUUCUAGGAAGAUGCUACGAAUACCUCCAGAAAAGAGGAGUUGCUGCCACAGACACACCCAAGUCUUUCACUAAGCGGAGGGCACUCCCUCUCUAUUUCCUUGUUGGACCGGCUCUAUGGAAACGGCAUAGUUCUCCUCUCAGAAGGCAGCCUGGGACACUCAGAAGAGUGGUGCUGUUUGGCUGCAGAAGCCCCCAGGGAGCUUUCUCAGACAAGCAGCGUGGGGUCCGCAGCCCAGGAGAGAUGGUCUCAGGUACUGUGGCAGUGGCACCCCUUGCCAAGAAUGUGGUGGUCUUUCGCAAUGGAGACCCCUUUUUCCUUGGCCGGAAAUUUGUUGUGAGCCAGCGCCGAUUCCUGACUUUUGACGCCUUUUUGAAUGAGGUGACCAGCACCAUCCAAGCCCCGGUGGCUGUUAGGAGCAUCUACACACCUCGAGAGGGUCAUCGCAUCGUGGAGCUGAGCGAACUGCAGAACGGAUGCCGAUACGUGGCUGCAGGUUUUGAGCGGUUCAAAAGGCUUGACUAUGCAAAUGCUGGAAUGAAGCAGCUGAACAAGCACCAGAAAAAAAAUGGAACCCAGAAUUAUCCAGGUAUUCCUCAGAAGAUGAUGGUUACUGUAGGAUGGAAGCGGCAAACGAACCUUCCUUGUGUUAUCUACGUUUUCCGCAACGGAGACCUGCUGAGUCCCCCCUUCCGAAUGGUCCUGGCCAGGAGCGUCCUGCAGGAAUGGGGCAUCGUCCUCGGCCGCUUGUCAGAAAAGGCAAACCUGCGCACUGGAGCGGUGAAGAAGCUCUGCAAGCUGAACGGUGACCUCAUCUCCCGGGGGGAGGAACUGGUGAACGGCGAAUAUUAUGUGGCUGUGGGGCUGGAGAAAUACAAAGACUUGCCUUACUUUGAACUACUGGUGCCUCCCAAAAUCCCUCAUCGUCCCUUUCGACGCUUCAUUACUCAACUAGGUAACAUCAUUAGUGCUAGAAGGGGGAGGUGUCUUUUGGUCUCUUUUUAUAUACCAGGGGCUUGCCCUGUCAGAGUCAAUAAAAAAACCCAAAAGAAAACAAAAAGGCCAAAACAUCUCCUUGCCAGCAGUCAAUACCCAGAUAAACAGAUCAACAUCAGGUUCUUUCAACAAUCAAGAAGCAAAGAAUACCCCAAUGAGGAAAUGCCAAACAAGCAACUGGACUUCCUUGAAAACAUUUCGCUUCUCAUCCAAGCAGCUUUUCCAGUUUCAGUUCUUCAGUUUCUUGAAUGAGAAGCGAAAUGUUUUCACGGAAACAAAUCAAGAAGGUCCACUUAUUUUUUGGAAAAGCAACUUUGGGACAACCAUGACCUGGAUGACUGAGAAUCUCCAUUGGCAAAAAAAUGACAGUCUAACCAAGGAACUACCUAGAAGAGAGCCAGACUCCCAGAGCAAGACAUUAGCACAGCGAUGGCUCACCUUUUUCGGACUGAGUGCCCAAAGUGCGUGUGCGCGCCUGAACACCCAAAAUGCAAUGUGCGCAUGUGCGCACGCCCUCCGUGGAUGCAUGUACCCCGCUCACAUGCCCCCUGCGCAUGCACAUGUGGCCCCCCACAGCAUCCCACCCCCCGCAGGUGCCCCACCCCCUGCAUGAGCCCCACCCCCCGCAGGUGCCCCACCCCCUGCAUGCGCCCCACCCCUGUGCAUGCGUAUGUUCCCCCCUGCCCGUGCCCCGCCCCCCGGAUAUGCACGGCAGAGACCCCACUACCAACUGGCUGGCGGGAGGUGCAUGCGUUUGCGCGACAGAACUGAACUGGGGCGACGGCUUGCAUGCCCAGAGGGUGCUGCGUGCCACAGGUUUGCCAUGACGACACUAGCACAUAAAAAGAGAGCCAACCCCAUCUGAGAGGCAGAGUGUGCUGGGCCUACAGACUCUGCGUGUCAAGGUAAUCGAGGCUAAGAAACUAAGGCCAUCUGGGGGUGGAUGGGGUGUCGGGUCAGCUGUUUUUACUGUAACAGCCACAGUAAAAGGAUCUUGCAAAUGUGAAUAUGCUCCCUUGCCCCUUGCUUUUCUCUUCAGAAGAACUAGAGAGGUGGUUGUCUGAGAUGCUUUCUCAGGCCACGCUCAGAUUUCUCUUAGCUGUUGUCUGGGCAGCAGCUCUCCUUCCUGUUCCUCAAGGGGAUCCCUUCUGCCCGCUACCCUGCAAGGUAUCUCAGUAAGGUAGGAAAAGCCUCUCUGGGUGCUGUGGAUAUGAACGUGCUGCUUUUCUGCUCAUAGGAACUUUCCUUCUAACAGAAGACGGAGCUGCAAUCGGGGGGUAAGUAGCCACGAUGGCGGAUUUCCUAAGGCAGCCCCUGUCUGAAAAGGAGCAAAGAUACUUUGCCUCGUGAGAAGAUGUGUGAUGUGUAAAUGUUCCUGUUAUAUUUUUUAAAAAUAAAAUGUCUCCUGCUGUGUUUGCGGUUAACAGAUGGGUCAGAUAUGGCCAGGCCUCCUAGUGAGGGAAAAUUCUUGUGGCUUGAGCUGAGCAGACCGUGGAGGAAUUCCACUCAAGUAGCUUCUUUUCCCCACCUCCUCCGAGGAGACCAUGGAGCAGACAUUCCACUUCUUGGACAAAUCCCAGAGAAGAGGGUCCUUUUUCUUCCCUUUACUAAUAAUGCUGCCAAUUGGUAUUCAUUAACAGGGACCAAAUUAAAACGCUGUAAUUGUUCCCUUAGAAGGCAAAAGGCGAUUACUGGCCUAAAUGUUUUUAUGAAGUCUGGAGAGAAGCAGCAUUCUGCAAAGCAAAGUGCCAGCCUCUUUCACCGCAGAUGCCCCCGGGCCCCAAAUGUAAACUAGAGUAGCAUCUGGCUCUAUGUGCCCUUGCCUAGAAAAAGGGUAAAGUGAGGAGGGGUGGUAGCACGGAGCCUUUGGCGGAGGGAAGGAGGCAGGACACAGGCUAGUAAACAAGUGAGCGUCUGUUAUUUUUCCUGUGUAAUGGUAGAUGGGUUAGGCAUGCAUGGUUGCCGUUUGGUGAGAACGCCCUCUGCCUGUUCCAAAAUUCCCCAUAGGUGACCUAAGUUGUGCUGAAAGAAGAAAAUUCACCUACAGUGAUCAUUUGUCAAGAUCAGAAUCAGCAAAAUCUCAUAAAGUUAUUUACCUAUUUAGUUAUUAUAACUUCUGUUCUCUCCAGGUGGUCUGUGAGGAUGGAGCCAGUGACUCGGCACUCCUUGAGCCAGCGCAACAGCUGAAACUUUGGCGGGUGCAUUCCACAGGGAUUGUGCCUGCAAGAGACCCUCCAAGUCCCCCUGAGUCCAAGCCAGCCAAGAAAUAUCCUCACCA
Molecule: RNA transcript, 4247 nt
Organism: Ahaetulla prasina
Lineage: Eukaryota; Metazoa; Chordata; Lepidosauria; Squamata; Colubridae
Gene: DCDC2B
Gene name: doublecortin domain containing 2B
Exons: 7
Source: RefSeq, a predicted model, not a curated record